CCCUAUGGGGUGCAGCAGGCGGAUUGGUAAGUCAGUGGUGAAAUUCAACGGCUCAACUGUUGAUCUGCCAUUGAUACUGUCAGUCUAGAGUAUAGUUGGAGUGGGCGGAAUGUGUCAUGUAGCGGUGAAAUGCUUAGAUAUGACACAGAACACCGAUCGCGAAGGCAGCUCACUAAGCUAAAACUGACGCUCAUGCACGAAAGCGUGGGGAUCAAACA
Molecule: ribosomal RNA, 218 nt
Filed under: uncultured prokaryote
Description: partial 16S ribosomal RNA
Rfam family: Bacterial small subunit ribosomal RNA
Source: RNAcentral